AGACCAGACAUCUGCAAUCUUUCCGUCAUAUUCUUUCUUCAAUAACACCUCUGGAGCAAUAUAUGCAGGUGUACCAACAGUUGACUUAGGUUGUGAAUGCAACACCGAGGACUUAGAAUAUCCAAAAUCACAAAUCUUUAACCUUGGUGCAGGACUUCCAUCCAGUAAUGUAUUCUCUAAUUUCAAGUCUCUAUGGCACACUUGCAUAGCAUGACAAUAACUGACCCCUGAUAUGAGUUGUUGGAAGAAAAACCGUGCCUCAUCCUCGCUAAAACGACCAGCAUUACAUAUGCGCUCAAACAGCUCCCCUCCAGAUGCAAAUUCCAUCACAAUAGCCAAAUGAGUUGGUGUGAGUAUGACCUCUUUAAAUCUGACUAUGUUAGGAUGCCUCAAUGAUCUAUGGUUGAUGAUUUCUCUCUUAACAUUUUCAUCAAUCUUCUCACCUCUCUCGAUGUACUUAACAGCAACAAGUUCAUUAGUCUGCCUAUCUCUCAUAAGCCUUGCAACACCAAAAUUCCCAGCACCAAUAUCCCGUACAAGUUCAUAUCUAUCGCUAUCGUGCAUGAUCGGUACGUCCAUACCUGGUCCUACUGUCACUGCCGUCCGAUCCAUAGUUCAACACAACCUCUCUCUCUUUUUAACUUGAACAAGCUACCUCUCACAUUAUUACAACCCACCCUUUUCUCUACAGCAAAUUAAAGUAGAUGAUGAGAUCGCAGUUCUGUUAGGGUUUUGAUUGAGCAGACGUGUUCUUCAUCAACCGGCAUAUAUAUAUAUAUAUAUCAAUAUCUUUUUUGUUGUGUGCUCAGAGGAGCUCGUGAAGUAAGCUGCUUUUCUUCUUUAUUUCUUUAUUAGUUUUUUCAGCUACUUCUUCUUUGGGUUUCCAAAG
This 889-nucleotide unclassified non-coding RNA is filed under the name Hevea brasiliensis (rubber tree). The record is from RNAcentral. Lineage: Eukaryota; Viridiplantae; Streptophyta; Magnoliopsida; Malpighiales; Euphorbiaceae.